CAGAGGUCCCAAGCGUUGUUCGGAUUCACUGGGCGUAAAGGGUGCGUAGGCGGUCGGGUAAGUCUGAUGUGAAAUCUCACAGCUUAACUGUGAAACUGCAUUGGAUACUAUCCGGCUUGAGGAAUGGAGGGGAGACUGGAAUACUUGGUGUAGCAGUGAAAUGCGUAGAUAUCAAGUGGAACACCAGUGGCGAAGGCGAGUCUCUGGACAUUUCCUGACGCUGAGGCACGAAAGCCAGGGGAGCAAACGGGACUAGAUACCCCGGUAGUCCUGGCCCUAAACGGUGCGCAUUUGCUGUGAGUGGAAUCGACCCCGCUCGUGGCGAAGCUAACGCGUUAAAUGCGCCGCCUGGGAAAUACGGCCGCAAGGUUA
Molecule: ribosomal RNA, 372 nt
Filed under: uncultured organism
Description: bacterial SSU rRNA
Rfam family: Bacterial small subunit ribosomal RNA
Source: RNAcentral